Molecule: long non-coding RNA, 2288 nt
Filed under: Cucumis sativus (cucumber)
Lineage: Eukaryota; Viridiplantae; Streptophyta; Magnoliopsida; Cucurbitales; Cucurbitaceae
Description: long non-coding RNA (CSAT_LNC001103)
Source: RNAcentral
UCUUAUCUUCAUGAGUAUCAUCGUUACUUUGCUUCAAGAGUCCUCUAUGAGCAACGUGCUCACUAUGCCUACAAAGCUCCCCAUUCAGAAGUUCAUGUCUUAUAACAAGUUGUCCUCGAGUUAUAAGAAAUUCUUACUCACUUCUACCUUCAAGCCACUAUUCUACCAUCACCCUGUCCCUUUCAAAGAAUGGCAUGAUGCUAUGACAGAUGAGUUAAAAGCCACAGAAACAAAACUAGACUUGGUCGGUUGUUCCUCUUUCUCUUUAUUGUUCUAAUUUUAUCAGAAGUUCAUGUCUUAUAACAAGUUGUCCUCGAGUUAUAAGAAAUUCUUACUCACUUCUACCUUCAAGCCACUAUUCUACCAUCACCCUGUCCCUUUCAAAGAAUGGCAUGAUGCUAUGACAGAUGAGUUAAAAGCCACAGAAACAAAACUAGACUUGGUCGGUUGUUCCUCUUUCUCUUUAUUGUUCUAAUUUUAUCAGAUGUCCUCCAAGGGACUCAGUUGUUCCUCUUCCUCCUACUCAACAUUUCAUAGGAUGCAAAUGGGUGUAUAAAAUCAAGCAUGGAGCCGAUACAUCGAUUGAACGAUAAAGCAAGACUUGUAGCCAAGUGGUACACUCAACGAGAAGGCUUGAUUAUGUUGAAACGCUUUCUUCAGUUGCCAAGCUUUUGACCAUCAAAAUUUUAUCAACUAUGGUUGUAUCAAUGAAAUGGGAACUAGUUCAACUUGACGUCAACGAUGCAUUUCUACCGUGAUCUUGUUGAAGAAAUUUACAUGGAUCUACCACUAGGAUACAAACAUGGUGUGGUUGCUAGAAAGGGGGAGCAUUUACUAUGUAAACUUAGCCAAUCAAUAUAUGGGCUUAAACAAAUUUCUCAACAAUGGUUUGAUAAGUUUUCUCGCAAUCAAUAUAUGCCCUGUUAUCCCUCGGAUUCUCACAAUCCAAGUUAGAUUAUUAUUUGUUUACCUGUGGCUCUGGACAUACUAUUAAUCUAUGUUAAUGAUGUAGUAAUAAUUGGUGCUUUAUCUACUAAUAUCUCCAUUCUAAAGCAACACUUGAAUUUUGUAUUCAAGUUAAAAAAACCUUAGCAGCAACUCCUGGCCAAGGUCUCUUCUUAAAGGCAUCUAUUUUUCAAAUACGUGCCUUCAGUGAUGAUUGGGCUUCUUGCCUUGACACUUGCAAGUCUACUACCAGUUUUUGUGUGUUUCUUGGUGAUUCAUCAGUCUCUUGGAAGUCAAAGAAGCAAGUGACAGAUUUAAAAUCAUUAGCUGAAGCAGAUAGAGGUUUAGCAACCACUGUUAGUGAAGUUUCUUGGCUUGUCCAACUGCUUAAAGACUUAGUGUUUUGUGAUAUAGUAUUUUGUGAUAGUACUGCUACCACUCACAUAGCCUCAAAUCUAGCUUUUCACGAAAGAACGAAGCACAUAUAGUUAGAUUGUCACCUCGUGUUAGAUCAUGUAGCAAAAGGCAAUAUCAAAUUGAUGCCUAUCCGGACUCAUUCCCAAUUGGCGGACAUUUUCACUACGGCCUUGCUAUCUUCAUUUACACUACUAUUGUCCAAGAUGGGUGUCCUAAAGAUACUAGGUCCAUCUUGAAGGGGAGUAAUGGAAAUUAGUUAUAUUGUUGAAACUCCUGAUAUUUUGUUAUUGGUGGUUAUUUUGAUAUAUCACCCACCUAUGUGUACUUCCAUUGGGUAUUUAUAUUGCCCAUUCUUAAUAAUAAAGAUUGAGCAAAGCUAUUUAGUCUUGGUGUUAGUUUAAUAAAGACUGAUGUUAUCUGUAUCAUACAUCUGACCUGUGAUUGAUUGGAAUGGCAUCUUGAAAAUAGAAUAUCAUAUCUUAAGCAAAGAAGUUAAUUGAAGGUAUGGGAAGAAAAAAAAAAGGGUGAUUCACUGGGAAAGCAUAUUCCAGAAAUUGACAACGUCAGAAGAAGCAGGAUGAUGUGGAGAAAGCGGGUGGCAGAAUGAGAAGAACAGUGGUGGAUGAGUUCAUCUCAUAAGUUGUCUCUUCUUUCCUUAUGUGUAGUAGCAUUAACAAAUUGCAGAAAUUAUUCUCUGUUCUUGUCUUUCAGGGUUUUAUUACACCCAAUAUUUCGACAUUUGGGCAAUGUCAGAAAGAAAGUGACCGUUUUCAGGGGUUGUAGGGGAAGAAUUUAAUGUAUCGGACCAAAUGAAACAAAAUACAGAAUAUAUAUAUAUAUAAUAUGUAUUUUGUGGUUUAUAUGUGGCAACUCAAAAUGUACUAUGAAGUUUUAAUUAACUGAAUGUAUUAUAUUCAGUUUUUCUU